This 403-nucleotide ribosomal RNA is filed under the name Verrucomicrobiota bacterium. RNAcentral describes it as "Verrucomicrobia bacterium partial 16S ribosomal RNA". It matches the Rfam family "Bacterial small subunit ribosomal RNA", at positions 355 to 776 of the family's 1533-position model. Lineage: Bacteria; Pseudomonadati; Verrucomicrobiota. The record is from RNAcentral.
UGGGGAAUCUUGCACAAUGGGGGCAACCCUGAUGCAGCGACGCCGCGUGAGCGAUGAAGGUUUUCGAAUCGUAAAGCUCUGUCCUAUGGGAAGAUAAUGACGGUACCACAGGAGGAAGCCCCGGCUAACUACGUGCCAGCAGCCGCGGUAAUACGUAGGGGGCGAGCGUUGUCCGGAAUUACUGGGCGAAAAGGGUUCGCAGGCGGCAUGGCAAGUCCGAUGUAAAAGGCGAAGGCUCAACCUUCGUAAGCAUCGGAAACUGUCAAGCUGAAGUGAAGGAGAGGCAAGGGGAAUUCCUAGUGUAGCGGUGGAAUGCGUAGAUAUUAGGAGGAAUACCGGUGGCGAAGGCGACUUGCUGGACAUCAACUGACGCUGAGGAACGAAAGCGUGGGUAGCAAACAGG